This 495-nucleotide ribosomal RNA is filed under the name uncultured bacterium. RNAcentral's name for it is "partial 16S ribosomal RNA". It matches the Rfam family "Bacterial small subunit ribosomal RNA", at positions 28 to 507 of the family's 1533-position model. The record is from RNAcentral.
GACGAACGCUGGCGGCGUGCCUAAUACAUGCAAGUAGAACGCUGAAGGAGGAGCUUGCUUCUCUGGAUGAGUUGCGAACGGGUGAGUAACGCGUAGGUAACCUGCCUGGUAGCGGGGGAUAACUAUUGGAAACGAUAGCUAAUACCGCAUAAUAGUAGAUGUUGCAUGACAUUUUCUUAAAAGGUGCAAUUGCAUCACUACCAGAUGGACCUGCGUUGUAUUAGCUAGUUGGUGAGGUAACGGCUCACCAAGGCGACGAUACAUAGCCGACCUGAGAGGGUGAUCGGCCAAACUGGGACUGAGACACGGCCCAGACUCCUACGGGAGGCAGCAGUAGGGAAGCUUAGGCAAGGGACGGAAGUCUGACCGAGCAACGCCGCGUGAGUGAAGAAGGUUUUCGGAUCGUAAAGAUCUGUUGUAAGAGAAGAACGAGUGUGAGAGUGGAAAGUUCACACUGUGACGGUAUCUUACCAGAAAGGGACGGCUAACUACGUG